Ornithorhynchus anatinus (platypus) is the source of this 319-nucleotide long non-coding RNA. RefSeq lists it as uncharacterized. The record is from RefSeq and is a predicted model, not a curated record. The transcript is spliced from 2 exons. NCBI's taxonomy places the organism in Eukaryota, Metazoa, Chordata, Mammalia, Monotremata, Ornithorhynchidae.
UUCGUCUUUGCCUAAUCACGCUACAUCUGUAUUUUUCAGAAAAACAGAUCCCCAAACAAGACAUUUGCUCAGACUCCAUUUGAUUUUGGGGGCUUUCCCCAAGGUCAUUUUGGCAUGGCGUGCAACACUUGCUAUUGUGCUAUUUUUAAAUCGCGCACAAGGAAAAUCAACACAGGACACAAAAUCGUUGGCAUUUCUCUCCAAGAACGGUCUCCUGGGCACUCUGGAUCAAAGGCCCCUUCCUUCUGUGGAAAGUCUCUGCUGUCAAGUUCGGCGAAGUGAACUUAAUAAAAUGAACUGACUAAAUGAUGGCAUGUGA